CCUACGGGGGGCAGCAGUGAGGAAUAUUGCACAAUGGGCGAAAGCCUGAUGCAGCGACGCCGCGUGGAGGAUGAAGGUUUUCGGAUUGUAAACUCCUGUUAAGUGGGAAGAAAAGUUCAUUUCUAAUACAGAUGAGCAAUGACGGUACCACUAGAGAAAGCACCGGCUAACUUCGUGCCAGCAGCCGCGGUAAUACGAGGGGUGCAAGCGUUAUUCGGAAUAAUUGGGCGUAAAGGGUGCGUAGACGGCAUUUUAAGUCAACUGUUAAAUUUCUC
RNAcentral lists this ribosomal RNA (275 nucleotides) under uncultured bacterium. Its description in RNAcentral is "partial 16S ribosomal RNA". It matches the Rfam family "Bacterial small subunit ribosomal RNA", at positions 338 to 605 of the family's 1533-position model. The record is from RNAcentral.